CCCUGAGAUGUGUAUAAGGGCCAUCACUGGUGUAUCUCUUGCUGAUAUAAUGGCCAAGAGGAAUCAGAAAACUGAAAUUAGGAAGGCUCAACAAGAACAAGCCAUCAGGGCUGCCAAGGAAGCAAAAAAUGCUAAGCAAGCAUCU
Molecule: long non-coding RNA, 145 nt
Organism: Prionailurus viverrinus (fishing cat)
Lineage: Eukaryota; Metazoa; Chordata; Mammalia; Carnivora; Felidae
Exons: 3
Source: RefSeq, a predicted model, not a curated record